Clupea harengus (Atlantic herring) is the source of this 1062-nucleotide long non-coding RNA. Lineage: Eukaryota; Metazoa; Chordata; Actinopteri; Clupeiformes; Clupeidae. The record is from Ensembl.
AACACAGAUUAGUAAUGAAUAACAUACUACAGUACAGUAAUUAGACUCGGGAGCCGGUAUGAAGGAAGGAUCCAGUUUAAUAAAAGCACAUCAGGCCUUCGACACGCAGGAAAGCCAAGUACCCCCCCCCCUCUCUCUCUCUCCAGUUUGAUGUAGUUCCAGUGCAAAGGCCAAUAUCCAAGGAUGGGUUAGAGAAUUAUAUAACCUUAAGAGUAUUAUAUAACCCUAACCCAAUGUCAAAGGAUAGAUUCCACAAACUAAUCUAUAGAACACACAUUGCAAUGCGACCCCACACACUUAUAUUUAUAUAUGUGCAACGCCACACGCUUAUAUUUAUAUAUGAGCCAAGCCACACGCUUAUAUUUAUAUAUGUGCAACGCCACACGCUUAUAUUUAGAUGUGUGUGUUUAUAUUUAUAUAUGUGUGUUUAUGUAAAGAAAUCAGCCCCAUGCCAUUAGAGCUUGGUAGUGCUUUUGUGUUUGGGAUGCCUGUGACUACAUGAUGAUCUGUGUCUCAUGACCAGUAAGAGGUGCCCACCCCCUCAGAGGAGGCUAUGCUGGACACACACACACACGCACACGCACACGCACACGCACACGCACAGACACACACACACACAGAACCCAGGAACAUGAUGGUUGCCAUGGUGUCCUGAGGAGCAUGAUGGUUGUCAUGGUAUCCUGAGGAGCAUGAUGGUUGUCAUGGUAUCCUGAGGAGCAUGAUGGUUGUCAUGGUAUCCUGAGGAGCAUGAUGGUCGUCAUGGUGUCCUGAGGAGGAUGAUGGUUGUCAUUGCACUCCCAGGAGCAUGAUGGUUGUCAUGGUAUUCCUCAGUCUGUACAAACCCUCAUAUAAAUCAGGAAGUCCUUACAAAACACUCUCAUAUGAAUCAGGAUGAUGUGUCCCAUCAGAUCACACACCACCCCCCCCCCCCUCCUCCUCCUCCUCCUCCUCCUCGUCCCCACCCGCUGUGGCUCACUCCGGGGGCUUCUUCUUGGCCUCCACAUCCUUCUUGAACUCUUCAAUCCUCUUCGAAAUGUUGGGUACCUGACACACACACACACA